GCCCAACCACCAGCCCCGUCCCUCCUAUUGCAAAUGAAGUGUUCCUAGUCACCUUUGGAGAGGUUUCUAUCAGCAUUUUAGAUAGAAUUUCUCUUUAAAGCUCUAUGUCCUGGUUUUGUUAGUAAUGCAUGAAAAUGUCAAGGAUUCAUGGAAUUUUUAUCCUUGGUUACUUUUUGGAAUGUAAUUGUAUCCGUUACCUUUGAAUCCAUUGGCUCAGGUUCUCUAAGUAAAUCAUCCACUGCAAACUCCUUGAGGUAGGGACUGGUUUUUUUUUUUUCUCUCAUCAGUAACCUCAUCACUUAGCACAGAGCCUAGUAUACAGUAGGUAUACCCUGCUUAGUCUUUAGAAUUCUAGCAACCAGGAAUGCAUACACCCCCGCUUAAGGAUUAACUGUGAGAAGCAUGGCCUAUGACUGGCAUUUGCUAGCAAGUGACAAAUCAGGAACAACUGACUGACCCCCUGGGCUGUCCAAAGCCAAGAUUAAGGCACCAUUAGUACAUGUGAGACACAGGAAGUGACAUAAAGAAAGGCCUUUAUAUUUUGUGUCACUUCCUGUGAGAGGGGCUUUUGUGGACUUUGGUGGUGGAACGUGGCUUGAUGGAGCUCUAGCAUGGGACCUCCAUCUUCUUCCCUGAACAACCAUGUGAACAUGAACCCCUCCAUUCAGCUUUAAUUGCAUGGAGAUUUAAUUUGGCCUUGCUGCUUUGAAGUCCAUAUCAAGCACUGAAAAAAAGGGCUAUUGUGACUGUUGGCAAGGUCUCAGGAAAAAAAAAAAAAUCCGGUGGCUCCUGCGCUGACGAAUUUCUGAACUUCCACCUCCAGAAGACAGUUGACAGACUGACAUUUUGUAUUGCUGAAUCUGUUAAUGCCUCCAGACUACAAAUGUGAAUCUCACCAGCAUCCAAAGUCCAGAUCAGGAAGCCAAAAUUGGAAGAGCCAAAAAAUGCUGAAAACCACCAAGAACCUUCAGCACACAGGAGGCUAAGACUGCCAAGAAUCCCACCAGAUCUCACAUUCUUGAAGCUAAGAGCUACCAGAAGGAAGAGCCAAGAAUGAAGAAUGAAGAGAGUGAAUCUCUCUCAGGCUUAGAGUUUUCUCCACCCAUCAGCACCCCUCCUCACAUCUCAGGAAUCAAUCACAGUCUUUCAAUUUGUGUAGCACUGCC
Molecule: long non-coding RNA, 1166 nt
Filed under: Monodelphis domestica (gray short-tailed opossum)
Lineage: Eukaryota; Metazoa; Chordata; Mammalia; Didelphimorphia; Didelphidae
Description: lncRNA (ENSMODG00000045436.1)
Source: RNAcentral